UAGAACGACUCUCGGCAACGGAUAUCUCGGCUCUCGCAUCGAUGAAGAACGUAGCGAAAUGCGAUACUUGGUGUGAAUUGCAGAAUCCCGCGAAUCAUCGAGUCUUUGAACGCAAGUUGCGCCCGAAGCCUUCGGGUUGAGGGCACGUCUGCUUGGGUGUCACGCA
RNAcentral lists this ribosomal RNA (166 nucleotides) under Porlieria chilensis. RNAcentral describes it as "5.8S ribosomal RNA". It matches the Rfam family "5.8S ribosomal RNA". From Rfam's summary of the family: 5.8S ribosomal RNA (5.8S rRNA) is a component of the large subunit of the eukaryotic ribosome. It is transcribed by RNA polymerase I as part of the 45S precursor that also contains 18S and 28S rRNA. The record is from RNAcentral. Lineage: Eukaryota; Viridiplantae; Streptophyta; Magnoliopsida; Zygophyllales; Zygophyllaceae.